AGUGAACGCUGGCGGUAGGCCUAACACAUGCAAGUCGAACGGCAGCACAGUAAGAGCUUGCUCUUACGGGUGGCGAGUGGCGGACGGGUGAGGAAUACAUCGGAAUCUACUUUUUCGUGGGGGAUAACGUAGGGAAACUUACGCUAAUACCGCAUACGACCUACGGUUGAAAGCAGUGGAUCUUCGGACCUUUCGCGAUUGAAUGAGCCGAGGUCGGAUUAGCUAGUUGGCGGGGUAAAGGCCCACCAAGGCGACGAUCCGUAGCUGGUCUGAGAGGAUGAUCAGCCACACUGGAACUGAGACACGGUCCAGACUCCUACGGGAGGCAGCAGUGGGGAAUAUUGGACAAUGGGCGCAAGCCUGAUACAGCCAUACCGCGUGGGUGAAGAAGGCCUUCGGGUUGUAAAGCCCUUUUGUUGGGAAAGAAAAGCAGCAGGUUAAUACCCCGCUGUUCUGACGGUACCCAAAGAAUAAGCACCGGCUAACUUCGUG
RNAcentral lists this ribosomal RNA (492 nucleotides) under uncultured bacterium. RNAcentral describes it as "partial 16S ribosomal RNA". It matches the Rfam family "Bacterial small subunit ribosomal RNA", at positions 29 to 507 of the family's 1533-position model. The record is from RNAcentral.